Molecule: long non-coding RNA, 730 nt
Filed under: Bos indicus x Bos taurus (hybrid cattle)
Lineage: Eukaryota; Metazoa; Chordata; Mammalia; Artiodactyla; Bovidae
Description: lncRNA (ENSBIXG00000015827.1)
Source: RNAcentral
ACACACGUAGGCUUUCCAGCCUAGCCAGUACCUGCAAUGACUGACUUUCUCCACGCAUAGUUGAGGGCACUGUGGGCCACACUGCAGGCUGCCCUCGGCCUGGAGAAUUGCUUCUCCCAGGUCACAGAAGGACACAGCAAGCCGGAAGAGGAGGUCAGGAGUAGCCGAGAGCUCCUGCUAUCACCCAUGACCGUUGGCAGGAAGAAGGAAAAGUUCUGACUGAGGGCUCCAUCAGCUCCAUCCAGGUCAGCAUUGCUGUGGAACAGACUGAUGAGGUGGAGAUUUUAUGCCACAAGUUCACGUGCUUCAUGACAAUGUGAGCAGAGAGUGGCCGCUGUUUCUCCUCGUCUGUCAGUGCAGUGCCUGACAGAGGUGGGCAGGAAAUAUCUUUCAUUUACCCUACCCUGUGGGUGCCCUGGAGCUACCAGAUCUCCGAGGACUCUGGAACCAUCUCAACUUUGAUCACAGGAAAACUUCGUGAGCUGGAAGAAGUUAGUGGGUCCACAGUCCCCACUCACCAGCAGCCCCUGAGCGGAUGGAAUUUUGGAAACUUGGUGAUCCUGCAUGAACCUGCAGGUGGAAGGUGCACUUGGUGGAAAGCCAUCCUUAGAACAACACAAGUGGAGACAGAGAAGACACAUCUAACAAAGGAAGAAGAAUGUGCUGGGAGACAUGUUUGGCCUUCAUAGGUCUUGGACAAAUAAAUCAUGGUUGACCUGAGAAUGGCCCA